This is a non-coding RNA of Henosepilachna vigintioctopunctata, 73 nucleotides long. NCBI's taxonomy places the organism in Eukaryota, Metazoa, Arthropoda, Insecta, Coleoptera, Coccinellidae. The record is from the annotation of a GenBank genome assembly.
GCCUCAGUGCUUCAGUCGGGAAAACAUCCGACUAUGGUGCGGUAGGAUGCGGGUUCGAGUCCCAUAGAAGGCA